UGCAGUCGAGCGGACGGAUGGGAGCUUGCUCCCUGAAGUCAGCGGCGGACCCGUUAGUACACGUGGGCAACCUGCCUGUAAGACUGGGAUACCCUCGGGAAACCGGAGCUAAUACCGGAUAAUGCACAGCCUCUCAUGAGGCUAUGCUGAAAGAUGGUUUCGGCUAUCACUUACAGAUGGGCCCGCGGCGCAUUAGCUAGUUGGUGAGGUAACGGCUCACCAAGGCAACGAUGCGUAGCCGACCUGAGAGGGUGAUCGGCCACACUGGGACUGAGACACGGCCCAGACUCCUACGGGAGGCAGCAGUAGGGAAUCUUCCGCAAUGGACGAAAGUCUGACGGAGCAACGCCGCGUGAGUGAUGAAGGUUUUCGGAUCGUAAAACUCUGUUGUCAGGGAAUAACAAGUGCCGGAGUAACUGCCGGCACCUUGACGGUACCUGACCAGAAAGCCACGGCUAACUACGUGCCAGCAGCCGCGGUAAUACGUAGGUGGCAAGCGUUGUCCGGAAUUAUUGGGCGUAAAGCGCGCGCAGGCGGUCUCUUAAGUCUGAUGUGAAAGCCCACGGCUCAACCGUGGAGGGUCAUUGGAAA
Molecule: ribosomal RNA, 591 nt
Filed under: Bacillus sp. CH71_2B
Lineage: Bacteria; Bacillati; Bacillota; Bacilli; Caryophanales; Bacillaceae
Description: bacterial SSU rRNA
Rfam family: Bacterial small subunit ribosomal RNA
Source: RNAcentral